RNAcentral lists this ribosomal RNA (484 nucleotides) under Alternaria sp. RNAcentral's name for it is "eukaryotic LSU rRNA". The stretch from base 112 to 265 matches the Rfam family "5.8S ribosomal RNA". Lineage: Eukaryota; Fungi; Ascomycota; Dothideomycetes; Pleosporales; Pleosporaceae. The record is from RNAcentral.
UCACCCUUGUCUUUUGCGUACUUCUUGUUUCCUUGGUGGGUUCGCCCACCACUAGGACAAACAUAAACCUUUUGUAAUUGCAAUCAGCGUCAGUAACAAAUUAAUAAUUACAACUUUCAACAACGGAUCUCUUGGUUCUGGCAUCGAUGAAGAACGCAGCGAAAUGCGAUAAGUAGUGUGAAUUGCAGAAUUCAGUGAAUCAUCGAAUCUUUGAACGCACAUUGCGCCCUUUGGUAUUCCAAAGGGCAUGCCUGUUCGAGCGUCAUUUGUACCCUCAAGCUUUGCUUGGUGUUGGGCGUCUUGUCUCUAGCUUUGCUGGAGACUCGCCUUAAAGUAAUUGGCAGCCGGCCUACUGGUUUCGGAGCGCAGCACAAGUCGCACUCUCUAUCAGCAAAGGUCUAGCAUCCAUUAAGCCUUUUUUUCAACUUUUGACCUCGGAUCAGGUAGGGAUACCCGCUGAACUUAAGCAUAUCAAUAAGCGGAG